UAAAGUCUGGCCUGCCCACUGAUUUAUUUUAAAGGGCCGCGGUAUACUGACCGUGCGAAGGUAGCAUAAUCAUUAGUCUUUUAAUUGAAGGCUUGUAUGAAUGGUUGGACAAAAAGCAAACUGUCUCAGUUGUAAUAAUUGAAUUUAACUUUUGAGUGAAAAGGCUUAAAUAAGUUAGGGGGACGAUAAGACCCUAUAAAGCUUGACAAUAAGCCGUUUAUAUUAUAAAUUGUUAGUAUAACUUGAUUUUAAAUGGUGUUUGUUGCGUUGGGGCGACGAGAAUAUAAAAGAUAACUGUUCUUAUAAUAUUUAAUAACAGAAAUAGCUGGAAAAUUAAUGAUCCUUUCUUUAAGAUCAUAAGAUUAAGUUACUUUAGGGAUAACAGCGUAAUCUUCCUUGAGAGUUCAUAUCGACAGGAAGGGUUGCGACCUCGAUGUUGAAUUAAGGUAUCCUUAUAAUGCAGCAGUUAUAAAGGAAGGUCUGUUCGACCUUUAAAUCCUU
This 501-nucleotide ribosomal RNA is filed under the name Penaeus duorarum (pink shrimp). RNAcentral describes it as "partial 16S ribosomal RNA". It matches the Rfam family "Bacterial large subunit ribosomal RNA", at positions 1846 to 2597 of the family's 2925-position model. The record is from RNAcentral. Lineage: Eukaryota; Metazoa; Arthropoda; Malacostraca; Decapoda; Penaeidae.